RNAcentral lists this transfer RNA (69 nucleotides) under Propomacrus davidi. RNAcentral describes it as "tRNA-Val". The record is from RNAcentral. Lineage: Eukaryota; Metazoa; Arthropoda; Insecta; Coleoptera; Glaphyridae.
CAGAUUAGAGCUUGUAAAAAGCAUUUUAUUUACACUAAAAAGUUAGUUGUGCGAAUCAAUUUAAUUUGA